This 1684-nucleotide small RNA is filed under the name Pongo abelii (Sumatran orangutan). RNAcentral describes it as "retained intron". The record is from RNAcentral. Lineage: Eukaryota; Metazoa; Chordata; Mammalia; Primates; Hominidae.
AGUCGGGUCUGCUCAACAUGACCAAGAUUGCCCAAGGGGGGCGCAAGCUCAGGAAGAACUGGGGCCCGUCUUGGGUGGUGUUAACGGGUAACAGCCUGGUGUUCUACCGAGAGCCACCGCCGACAGCGCCCUCCUCGGGCUGGGUGAGUGUGAGCGAGAGGCGCAGGAGGGGUGCAGGCGCUGCCUACCGCCUCACGCCAAUGUUGGGGGCGGCAGCGGGGAGGGCGGUGCAGAGGAAGGUAAAGAAGUGAGGAAGCCUCCCACCUCCUCACAGCCCACCGGGGAGAGGGAAGCAGUGAAGGAAACAACACCGUGGCCUCAGUUUCCUCCCUCAUUGUCAGGGGCCAGCGGGUAGCCGGCCGGAAAGUAGCGUGGACCUGCGCGGGGCGGCUCUGGCGCACGGCCGCCACCUGUCCAGCCGCCGCAACGUCCUGCACAUCCGCACGGUCCCUGGCCACGAGUUCCUGCUGCAGUCGGACCACGAGACAGAGCUGCGAGCCUGGCACCGCGCGCUGCGGACUGUCAUCGAGCGGCUGGAUCGGGAGAACCCCCUGGAGCUGCGUCUGUCGGGCUCUGGACCCGCAGAGCUGGCGGAGCUGAGCGCCGGGGAGGACGAAGAAGAGGAGUCGGAGCCGGUGUCCAAGCCGUUGCUGCGCCUCAGCAGCCGCCGGAGCUCCAUUCGGGGGCCCGAAGGCACCGAGCAGAACCGCGUGCGCAACAAACUAAAGCGGCUCAUCGCGAAGAGACCGCCCUUACAAAGCCUACAGGAGCGGGGUCUGCUCCGAGAUCAGGUGUUCGGCUGCCAGUUGGAAUCACUCUGCCAGCGGGAAGGAGACACGGUGCCCAGCUUUGUGCGGCUCUGCAUUGCUGCUGUGGAUAAAAGAGGUCUAGAUGUGGAUGGCAUUUAUCGGGUGAGCGGGAACUUGGCAGUGGUCCAGAAGCUUCGCUUUCUGGUGGACAGAGAGCGUGCGGUCACCUCCGAUGGGAGGUAUGUGUUCCCAGAACAGCCAGGACAAGAAGGUCGGCUAGAUUUGGACAGUACUGAGUGGGAAGACAUUCAUGUGGUCACCGGAGCCCUGAAGCUUUUUCUCCGGGAGCUGCCUCAGCCUCUGGUGCCAUCACUGCUGCUGCCCCAUUUCCGUGCUGCCCUUGCACUCUCCGAAUCAGAGCAGUGCCUCUCUCAGAUACAAGAAUUAAUAGGCUCAAUGCCAAAACCCAACCAUGACACUCUACGGUACCUCCUGGAGCAUUUAUGCAGGGUGAUAGCACACUCAGAUAAGAAUCGCAUGACACCCCACAACCUGGGAAUUGUGUUUGGACCAACCCUGUUUCGGCCAGAGCAGGAGACAUCUGACCCAGCAGCCCAUGCUCUCUACCCAGGGCAGCUGGUCCAGCUGAUGCUCACCAACUUCACCAGCCUCUUCCCCUGACGCAGGGAAGGAAGAAGAGAAAACAUAUUUCCAGUCAUCUCUGGUGGUGAGAGGCUGGUGUUCUGUUUUGAGGACAUCCCUUUAAAUCUCCCAAAUGACUGUCUCUAUCUUCAUGAGUGUGACUUGAGGUGUUGGGAUGGGUGAGGGAGCUUCCUUUAAGAGGAAAGUGAGUGGAUUAACCCCUGCUUCUCUUCUUGUUCCCUGUUAUCAUUCCUCCCCAACAUAAUAAUACAUAAAGCGGCAUGUUAUUUUUU